Molecule: long non-coding RNA, 485 nt
Organism: Sinocyclocheilus grahami
Lineage: Eukaryota; Metazoa; Chordata; Actinopteri; Cypriniformes; Cyprinidae
Exons: 3
Source: RefSeq, a predicted model, not a curated record
CUCAGAGUUGCGUCGGAAGCGGAAAUAAGCAUCAUCUAACCGCGAAGGAGUGCGUAAUGCCAAGAAAAUCCCAGCUGAAACUAUCUGUGAUAAUAGCGAUUUAAGGAUGACAAUCUCAGUCAUUCUCGGCUCAAACACUUUUGAGCACCCUGAGACUCUGUGGCACUGAUGCUCGGGUUAUUUUGGGAAGGCUGGAUGUGUCUGCUGGAGGGUGUGAGGACGUUUGCUCCCGGUGAGAGUCAGGAGCGAAGCAGGCAGAGGCGGGACGGGCCGGGGGAAGUUUACAAUUGCAGGCCAGGCAUCAGACACACAGCAGCACUAGAGGAGGGGAGAGGUCACCUCAAAGGUCAUUGUUAUCAUCAGAAGUCCAUGAUGCAGUUCUGCAGAGAUCAGAUACGGGGUGUGUGUGUGUGUGUGUGUGUGUGUGUGAUACUCUCAGCUUAUCAUGACAACAACUGAUUUCAUCUGAGAAUGUGAUUGAUAAA